UUCUUUCCCCACAAAAAUGUCAUGUGCAUCAUCAUACGUUGAUGGUUCUUCAUCAACGUGGCUCCUCUUCCUGUGGCGUUGUUCAUGGCGACUGAUGGCGGAGGCGCCAUAUCCAUUCCAUGCAUGUGGCCGUCGUUGUCCAUUUCUUUUUUGUCCAAUUCUUCGAUUUUAUAGAAGCUCAACUUCUCUUUAUUGCACCCAUAAAAAUCCAUUUAAACCACAAGAAAAAAAAAGGAAUUUUUUUUUUAAUCAAUUCCCUCUUUUUCCUGAAUCUACUGAUAUAUUACACGUAAUUUCAAGAAUUCAAUAAUGGAGUGGAGUCCGUUUGAUGUCACAGUGAUCUCCGCCGCAUGCAUAAAAAAGGCGAAUGAUUUGAGGGGUUUUGCUCGAUGGCGGAUUCACCGAAAAUUAGGGUUUGUUCUUGAACAAAGACCAUGGAGCUUAGGGCUCAAUAACUUAAUUUUCUGUUAAUAUAUUUUAAUGUAUUGUCAACGUAUCACGCUGUAUUUUCAUGUAUUUCAUUGUAUUCAUUGUAUUGUUUUCAUUGUAAUUGAAUGUAUCUCGUUGUAUUCCAUG
RNAcentral lists this long non-coding RNA (576 nucleotides) under Nicotiana benthamiana. Its description in RNAcentral is "long non-coding RNA (NBEN_LNC013608)". The record is from RNAcentral. Lineage: Eukaryota; Viridiplantae; Streptophyta; Magnoliopsida; Solanales; Solanaceae.